GAAUCUCCGACUUGCCAUGGUCGUCUUUGUCUGCCGAAGAAGCCUGGGAAGUUUAUAAACAGAUAAAGACGCAACAUGAAAGACUUGUAAGUUAAGUCUCAUCUUUCUCUGUGAAAAGACAGACUGAGGGAAAAUUUAGGAAACAAAGUAUUUCCUCUGAACAGUCAUUGAUUCUUCAAGACUACCCUUCUGUGUAUGGAACUCAGUUUAAAAGAAUUUGAAACCUAAUUUAUAUACAAUCUAUACCUAAAUAUGGGAGAAGCUAUAUAAGAACCAUUAAGAAUAUAAAGAGAAUGUUACAUUUUAUCCCUUUUUGUAAUCAUCUCAUCUCAGGGUAAUCAAUGUGAGAAAAGUCUUCCAUCAUAAAUUUAACUUCAUUAGAUACCUGAGAAUUAAUAUUGAAAAUACACCAUAUGAAUUUAGUGAAUGUGGGAAAGCUUUCAUCCUUAUUACAUCUUAUUUGAUACUAGGGAAAUCUCCUGAUUAAAUUCACAUGCAUGAUAGGCAUGUUGGAAAGUCUUCAGCAUGAAUCAGAUCUCCUUCAGCAUGAUCAAAUUCAUACUGGAGAGAAACCUUAUGAAUGUAAUGAAUGUAGAAAAACUUUUAGCCUGAAGCAAAACCUUGUAGAGCAUAAGAAAAUGCAUACUGGAGAGAAAUCUCAUGAAUGCACUGAAUGUGGUAAAGUGUGCUCUCGAGUCUCAUCUCUUACUCUACACCUUAGAAGUCACACAGGAAAGAAGGCAUAUAAAUGUAAUAAAUGUGGAAAAGCCUUCAGCCAGAAGGAAAACUUCCUUUCUCAUCAGAAACAUCACACUGGAGAGAAACCUUAUGAAUGUGAAAAAGUUUCUAUUCAGAUGCCAACCAUC
Molecule: long non-coding RNA, 866 nt
Filed under: Homo sapiens (human)
Lineage: Eukaryota; Metazoa; Chordata; Mammalia; Primates; Hominidae
Description: long non-coding RNA NONHSAT180382.1
Source: RNAcentral